RNAcentral lists this ribosomal RNA (225 nucleotides) under uncultured bacterium. RNAcentral describes it as "partial 16S ribosomal RNA". It matches the Rfam family "Bacterial small subunit ribosomal RNA", at positions 111 to 334 of the family's 1533-position model. The record is from RNAcentral.
UAACGCGUGAGCAAUCUGCCUUUAAGAGGGGGAUAACAGUCGGAAACGGCUGCUAAUACCGCAUAAAGCAUUGAAACCGCAUGAUUUUGAUGCCAAAGGAGCAAUCCGCUUUUAGAUGAACUCGCGUCUGAUUAGCUAGUUGGCGGGGUAACGGCCCACCAAGGCGACGAUCAGUAGCCGGACUGAGAGGUUGAACGGCCACAUUGGGACUGAGACACGGCCCAG